Molecule: ribosomal RNA, 102 nt
Filed under: uncultured methanogenic archaeon
Lineage: Archaea; Methanobacteriati; Methanobacteriota
Description: partial 16S ribosomal RNA
Rfam family: Archaeal small subunit ribosomal RNA
Source: RNAcentral
GCGAUGGGGGGAUCCAGUGCUAUUCUUAACGGGAUAGCUUUUCUUAAGUGUAAAAAGCUUUUGGAAUAAGAGCUGGGCAAUACCGGUGCCAGCCGCCGCGGU